Molecule: ribosomal RNA, 253 nt
Filed under: uncultured bacterium
Lineage: Bacteria
Description: partial 16S ribosomal RNA
Rfam family: Bacterial small subunit ribosomal RNA
Source: RNAcentral
GACGGAGGAUGCAAGCGUUAUCCGGAAUGAUUGGGCGUAAAGCGUCCGCAGGUGGCUAUGUAAGUCUGCUGUUAAAGAGUGAGGCUCAACCUCAUAAGAGCAGUGGAAACUACAUGGCUAGAGUGCGUUCGGGGCAGAGGGAAUUCCGGGUGUAGUGGUGGAAUGCGUAGAGAUCCGGAGGAACACCAGCGGCGAAGGCGGCAUCCUGGACUGGUCCUGACACUCAGGAGCGAAAGCGUGGGGAGCGAUCCGG